AAAGACUUAGGUUAUCUAAACCAAAGACCUUCAAAGCCUUAAAAAGAAGUAAAACCCUCUAGUCUUUG
This 68-nucleotide transfer RNA is filed under the name Gymnopis multiplicata. RNAcentral describes it as "tRNA-Trp". The record is from RNAcentral. Lineage: Eukaryota; Metazoa; Chordata; Amphibia; Gymnophiona; Dermophiidae.